This 1954-nucleotide ribosomal RNA is filed under the name Bacteroidota bacterium. RNAcentral's name for it is "Bacteroidetes bacterium (soil metagenome) partial 23S ribosomal RNA". It matches the Rfam family "Bacterial large subunit ribosomal RNA", at positions 1 to 1965 of the family's 2925-position model. Lineage: Bacteria; Pseudomonadati; Bacteroidota. The record is from RNAcentral.
AAGAAAGUAAUUAAGGGCGCAUGGUGGAUGCCUUGGCUCUCAUUGGCGAAGAAAGACGUGAUAAGCUGCGAUAAGUUACGGGGAGGUGCAAAUAACCUUUGAUCCGUAAAUUUCUGAAUGGGGCAACCCUCUAGAUUGAAGAUCUAGAAUCCCGCAAGGGAAGCAAACCCGGAGAACUGAAACAUCUAAGUACCCGGAGGAAAAGAAAACAAAAGUGAUUUCCUAAGUAGUGGCGAGCGAACGGGAAAUAGCCCAAACCUGGGUGGUUACGGCCAUCCAGGGGUUGUAGGACUGCAACGUGGACUUUAAAAGCAUAGUAGAAUUACCUGGAAAGGUAAGCCAUAGGAAGUGAAAGCCUUGUAUACAAAAUGUUUUUAAUACCUAGCAGUAUCCUGAGUACCACGGGGUCGGAGACGCCUUGUGGGAAUCUGCCGGCACCAUCCGGUAAGGCUAAAUACACAUGAGAGACCGAUAGUGAACUAGUACCGUGAGGGAAAGGUGAAAAGCACCCCGAACAGGGGAGUGAAAUAGUACCUGAAACCGUGCGCUUACAAGCGGUAGGAGUCCCGAUUUAUCGGGAUGACUGCGUGCCUUUUGCAUAAUGAGCCUACGAGUUACUCCUCUCUGGCAAGGUUAAAUUCUUUAAAGAAUGGAGCCGAAGCGAAAGCGAGUCUGAAUAGGGCGUAUAGUCAGAGGGGGUAGACGCGAAACCUUGUGAUCUACCCAUGACCAGGUUGAAAGGCGGGUAACACCGUCUGGAGGACCGAACCAGUAAACGUUGAAAAGUUUUUGGAUGAGUUGUGGGUAGGGGUGAAAGGCUAAUCAAACUGGGAAAUAGCUCGUACUCCCCGAAAUGUUUUUAGGAACAGCCUCGAGGUUGAGUUUUAUAGAGGUAGAGCUACUGAUAGGGCUAGGGGGCUUCACCGCCUACCAAACCCUGACAAACUCCGAAUGCUAUAAAAUAUACUCGGGAGUGAGGCUUUGGGUGCUAAGGUCCAGAGCCGAGAGGGAAAGAACCCAGACCAUCAGCUAAGGUCCCCAAAUGUAUGUUAAGUUGAUCUAACGUGGUCCGAUCGCACAGACAGCUAGGAUGUUGGCUUGGAAGCAGCCAUUCAUUUAAAGAGUGCGUAACAGCUCACUAGUCGAGCGAUUGGGCGUGGAUAAUAAUCGGGCAUAAAACAUACUACCGAAGCUAUGGAUUUCAAUUUAUUGAAAUGGUAGGGGAGCAUUCCAGCCGCGUAGAAGGUGAACCGUCAGGUUUGCUGGAGCAUCUGGAAAAGCAAAUGUAGGCAUAAGUAACGAUAAUGCGGGCGAGAAACCCGCACGCCGAUAGACUAAGGUUUCCUGAUCAACGCUAAUCGGAUCAGGGUUAGUCGGGACCUAAGGCGAAGCCGAAUGGCGUAGUCGAUGGACAACAGGUUAAUAUUCCUGUACCUGUAUAUAUUGCGAUGGGGUGACGGAGAAGUGAAAGGUCUGCGUACUGACGGAAUAGUACGUUGAAGCCUGUAGGUAUAGGUUUGGUAGGUAAAUCCGCCAGACUUGCUGAACGGUGAUAGUACCACAAACCUUCGGGUGCGUGGAUAAUGACCCUAAACAUGCUUCCAAGAAAAACCUCUAAGCUUCAGAUAUAUACAGCUCGUACCACAAACCGACACAGGUAGUCAAGAAGAGAAUUCUAAGGCGCUCGAGUGAAUCAUGGCUAAGGAACUCGGCAAAUUAACCCUGUAACUUCGGGAAAAAGGGUGCCCCCGGCAACGGGGGCCGCAGUGAAAUGGCCCAGGCGACUGUUUAUCAAAAACACAUGGCUUUGCUAAAUCGCAAGAUGAUGUAUAAGGCCUGACACCUGCCCGGUGCUGGAAGGUUAAAAGGAGAGGUCAUCCCGCAAGGGAGAAGCUUUGAAUUGAAGCCCCAGUAAACGGCGGCCGUAACUAUAACGGUCCUAAGGUAGCGAAAU